AGGAUUAUAAUUUAUUCAAAAUAUUUGAUUUGCACUCAAAAAAAGUUUUAUUAAACUUAUCUUA
RNAcentral lists this transfer RNA (64 nucleotides) under Eubasilissa regina. RNAcentral's name for it is "tRNA-Ala". The record is from RNAcentral. Lineage: Eukaryota; Metazoa; Arthropoda; Insecta; Trichoptera; Phryganeidae.